AUCCGGUCAGAGCGAGUCUCCGGUGAACGGCUCACUGAUUCAAAUGAUCCGGUCAGAACGAGUCUUCAGUUAAUGAUUCACUGAAUUCACUCAAAAGUGAGCCAAUCCUCGGAGCUCGAGUGCGCGUGCGACUGAUGGCGUGAAAAGAAACAUCUUCGUGUCCGUCUUUUUGGACGAGAGUCACAGGAGAGGCGUCCCGGCGUCACGCCAUGGUCUCUUUCCCCGGGAGCCUCCUGUCGUUAAAGGUGUGAAAGGGCGACCUCUGGUGUUUGCGUCUGGUACCUUCUCGAUCUGCGCGUUCUGUUUGGAUUUGUACAGCACCUCGCCGACUGCCACGAACACGGAGAGCACCAGACCGGCGGCGAGGACGAUGAAGAUGCCGCCGAUGUUCUGCACUCCGAGAGCGCUGGCCUCCUUACUCUCCUCCUCCGGACAGCCGUUCCCUCUCCACCACUUCUCCUUCAUCAUGUGCAGCUUGCCCUCCUCCUGCAGCUGCAGGAUGGCGAUGGUGAUCUUGUCCCGAUACGGCGAGCCUGCGGAGGGAGACGAGCCGCAGGACGGAGAAAUCUGCCAGCUCUCCAUCAUCUGUCACUGCAGGUCGCCAUGGCGACAGGUUUAUAAAGAUAGGAUGCUGAUGCUGUAAGCGUGAAUGUUUGAGUAAUAACAGAAGGAUGUGUGUUGUACCCAUGGGU
Molecule: long non-coding RNA, 692 nt
Organism: Cyprinus carpio (common carp)
Lineage: Eukaryota; Metazoa; Chordata; Actinopteri; Cypriniformes; Cyprinidae
Exons: 4
Source: RefSeq, a predicted model, not a curated record